GCUUUUUUUUUUUUUUCAUUUAGGAAGAAAAAUAUAUCCUGCCCAAAACUAAAUCUGCUUGCUAAAUAUUCAGUGAAAAAAGUCAAAUGGUAACUACUGUGGCUUUGUGAGUAAUGUGUUAUCCAUAGUUUAGAAAGUCUUGUCCUGAUAAGACACACAGUGGACAACACAUAUAAGAUGAAGUUUAUGCACUAGUAUAAGGUUUUGAGGACCUGCCUCAUGGCUGGGCAAAUCCCUGGGCAUGCCUGUGGGCAUCUGAUCCACUUCACUGCCAUUGCAUUGGAAAGAAAAGCCUGCUGUUACCAAGGACUUAUUAGAAGACAGAUGCCUUCAGUGCUUAUCAUGGAGUUAGGGGAUGCUAUACUGCAUGAAGCACAGAAGUAGAUGAUUUGGUCUGGUGUGCCUUGGGAACAUGGACUAGUGCAAGGCAGGGGUAGAAUGAACUGCAGACUCCUGGAAAGCAAGAGGGAGAGUGCCAUGAUUCUGCCCUCACUGGAGUGAAAGCUAAUCAAGAAUAUGCUGGAAUAAAUCCCUAUGUGCAUCAAAGAUACAUCGGUAUCAAAUUAAUGGAAAGGAGAAAGGAAUUUAGGACAGCUAAGAUCUGCUGAUAGGGUCAAGUGACCUCCCUGUCCUCAGGUCUACAUUUUGGAAACACAAAUUGCACUUUGGUUUCACUUUGAAAUGUGUAAGCCAAAUUGUGAUGCUUACAGAGAGCAAGAAGAUUGGAAGAUGCGAAAGUCUUGUGAUCAGGGAGCGAGAGGAUAGCAGCAUGGUAUGGUGAUGUGAAGUUGAGCAAAAGAAAAUUAGAAUUUUUCUCUCCAGUUAUUUAGACGAAAGAAGUUAAAUCUCCGUUUUCUUACGCUUAAAUAAAAGUCUCUCUAUUCUAUGGUAUAAAAGACCACGCAGGAAUGAGCUUAGACUGUGGUAACACAUAAUUCCAAGUUAGUGAAGAGACAGUAUGUUUUGUAUUAUCUUUUCUCUUGUUUUUGAUUGCCGUUUUUGGGGGGUUGAUAUUACUGUAAGUAAAUACAUUUGUCUUUUGUUUCAUUUUCCCCCUGUGACCUAUUUCAUUUAAUUAGAAGGAAAUGCAUAAUAGGAAAUGAGUAUCAUCACACUGGGCUCCAUCCAAAGCCUGGGAAACCAUCAGGAGUUUUUUACUCCUGAAAAAGCAUUUCCCAGGCUUUUUACUGUCACUGGGUCCAGCCCAGCAGAAAAGAGGGGCUAUUUCCACGUUAUCUGGAAGAAUGUGUGCUGCUGGUAUAAAAAUAUUACAGCUCUUAUUUUAAAGUCUGGCCCCAAUACUAGGGAAGGAUCUUGCUACUGCAUGUGCCUCUCUAUGCCACAUGUUUCACAUCUGUGGCAACACAUUAAAGGAUAAAGGUUCCUAAAACUUUAACUCUGACUAUACAUACAAAAAGAAAAUACAAAUUAAGGCAAAGAUAAAAGAUAUUGAUGGAAGUACAGGAGAUGCUCUUUAACAUGCAUAUUAUUGACUCAAUAGAUUGUUACGGCUUCAGAGCUAUUAGGGUCUGCUGUGUCAAUGUGUACUUAGGGACUGUUUAAUAUGCAGAUGGUUGACAUGACAGACUGGAGCCAUUACAGUCUAUCAUGUCAGGGGGGAUACAUGAAUACGCACUUUGCCAACACAGUAAAAAGUCCCUUUAAAAUACAGUAGCUCUUUUUUGCAAUAAUUUAAUAGGUUUGGUUCUUUGGAUGCCCAGAGACUUGAGAGUUUGGAUUUAUCAGAAACAAAAUUUAUUUCCAAAUUAAGUCAUUUUCCAUGUGGAAUGUGCAGUCUGGAGGACAGGGUGUAAUCUCAGAUACACAGCUCCUAUCAAAUCUUGUAAAAUUAGCUACCGCACUUGUGCAUGUGUAGAAGAGAUCAGAAUCUAUCUGUCGGCAUGUGUCUUUUUGAAGAAUAUAGUUUUGUCUUUUUGAGGGGUAAGGGAGAAUGUCGUCUCUUUUUUCAUUCAAAUAAUCUUCAGUAGCAAUUAAAUAGCUUAUGCUACCUAAGAGAUCAGUUAUUACAAGAUAAGCAGCAUGACAGUUUGGAAAACUGAAUAAGUCUUUGAUUAUUUACUAAGUUUUGAUAUCUGCUAUUUGCCUCAAAAUACUAAAAAGUGAAGUAUAAGAUACAAACAUGAAAGGCUCAUUUGAUCAUCAUAAGGAAAGGAAUCAGUAGUUUUGCUUUUCUUUUCCUCAACAACUUAUUUUUUAUUAAAAUAGCAGAGCCAAGUGUUGUGUUUAAUAAGAUAUAUUUUUUUCAUUUGAAUAUCAAAUGGAAAAAUACAAUUAAAAUAUUUCUGCUUUUACAUUAAUCGUAGGCUAUAUUUCAGCAAUGCAUAUAUCUAAGAAGCUCAGCAUACACAUUUGGUAUAUAUUAGAUUCUUCUAACAGAUGCCCAGACCUCUUCCCCUGAUUUUUAAUGUUCUUUUUUAUGGCAGUGAUCCAGGGACAUUUUAAUUUGCAAGCCUGUGAACUUGGAAAUAAUACUUGUAGUGGGGCAUUAUGUCUAGUCCAUUCCCUCUAAGUUUAUUGUCCUGUGUCACCUAGCUCUGAUUUUAGCUGAUUUGCUGAACAGAGUCGCAUGGUGCAAUUCCAGCACAAAAUUCACUGAGCAAAAGCACUCUGCCUUGCAAAUAACAGUAAUUGUGCAGUAUUAUAAAGGUCUUUCCUCUUAUUUGUGGAAGAGUUUGGUGACAAAUUCUACAAAAAAGUGGAUUUUUAGCAAAUGUGAAGGCUGAUUUCUGACAGUUCCUUUUACUGCCUGGUGCUAACGGGGAGACCAUGGGGGCAGUUUGGUUGUGGUGGUGAUGGGUAGGGCAAGUGCGAGGAGGUAGAAGGUGCAGAGAGUACAUUUCUCAUAACCUGUUACACCAGGUGCUCCUGGGUCUUCUGUGAGGUUUCUACAAUGACACAGGAAAGCCAGGAAAACCUUAGGAAAAAAGAGAGGUCUGGAAAAGCCCAGGACAUAGCUUCUUUUUACAGCUGAAUUCACCCUGUGGUCAUGGAGAGGUCUCUAAUGGGAGAUACAUCUCCCUGGUGCUGAGUUAGCCCUGCAACAAGGGAGGACCAAGCAGCAGCAGCCUGAGCUGCAGGAAAAUAUAUCAUAGCUUCAAACUGCAUCAGUACCUGUGGGAAAGGUGAGCUUUGUUCCCUCAUCAGCUCUGGGACAGUGGGUACGUCCUUGUGGCAGUGGGCUGUGUCCAUGGCUGUGGAGUUCCAGCUCCCACAGCCCUUCUGCCUCCACCUCUGGCCAUCAUAGUGGCUGAGGUGACACAUGUGGCUCGCCAGACCUCUCUGCCCUUCUCCUUCCCCAGUGCAGCCCUGAAAGUUCCUCAUCCCUCUCUGUGUUACCCAUGUGCGGGGUAACAUCGUCGCAUCGUCAGCCGAAAGAGACAUGUAUGAAGGUAGGAUGUGAAGCUCUGUGUUACCUGGUGCUAAUCAAUAAAGCAAAAAUGUAGCUUUUUGACAACGCUUGUAAUUUUGACUAUUGCAAUGGUGUGCCAUUCCUUUGAAUGCAGUACGCUUCUGUGCCCCAUUAAAGCAUGGCUGGCAUUGCUUUCAACUAUUCACAAAUGCUGAGAUGUUGAAAAAUGUAACAUUUACAAAAGAUACAUCUGGUGUAUAUUUACAAGGCUCAGGAAUCAUUUAAAUAGUGUCUGUGCCAUCACCAUAUUAGGAGAAAAGUUAGUCCCAGCCGCAUAUGUGAAAUCAGUAGUCAAAUGUGUGCUGGUUGAAAGUCCAUUGCUAUGAUAUGGUAUUUUGAGGUAUUAAACUCGAAAAUACCAACCCGGGUAUAAUGCUCGAAUUAGAUAGAUAUAAGCCUGCAUAAAAUGUGUCAUAACUACCUAUAGACACCUAUUUAAACAGUGUGGUCAGAAGAGGGUUAUGGGUUUUGAGGGAUAAAUGCUUAAUUGUUUUUUUUUUUUUUAAGUAAAGCACAAUUUUUAGCUUCUCAUUGUGAGAUGUCAUCAUACCUUUUUUCCUGUUCUUCAGUGAGAAUUGAAAGACCUACCUUGGAAUCGCGGAAAAAGCUAUUGAACAGCUUCCUUUAUAUCACAUAACAUUUCAAGGACAAAAAGGCCUGCUCUUUUCUCCAGUCUUGGUAUGUGGAUUUCUCUCUCUCCAAGUAAUUCCUUAGCAUACCCUUGAAUGGCAUCUACCACACACAGAGAACCCUGUAUUCUGCCUGGCAAAAUAAGACUGUGCAGCCCUUCUUCCCCAGAAUUCCAGCAGCGAUGCUCUCAAGGGACCUCUCGAAGUGGUGGCUGAAGUUGCAAUGUUGUGAACAUGGUGCAGGUUAACUCUGCAAAAAGGCGUUUUCUUUGCCUCUCAGAUAACUUUUUCAACCCACAAGGCUGAAACAACUUCUCUUAACUGAAAUGACCCCAGCAGAACUAUUCACUAGAAGACAUCCUCCUUGAUUUUUUGUAAGAUGACUGGAGUUGUAGAACAGCAAAGACUUGGAACAGACAUUGAGGUCCUAUUGCUCCUGUCGGAAACUUCUGUUGUCUGCAGCGUGAGUUGGAUGGGACCCAGAGAAACCAAAUACAGACAAGUAAUGAUGAGUUGGCCAUACAAGCAAGGAAAAUCACAGAUAACAGGUGCACACCAAUUAGCAAUGUAUCUUUUGGGUCAUCCAGUACAUCUUCCUGACACAAUGAAGUUGUUUCUUAUGGCAUAUUUUUUGUGGUUUUUUUGUGCCUGGAUUAAAUUUCCUAAGUGAUACCAUAUCUCAAGGGAGAGGUUGUGUUGCCUAGAGUAUCUUGUUGUCAGGACUUUUUUUCCUUUCUUAAUGUCAUCAUAUUUCUUCUUUUUACAUCCCUUUGCAAAUUUCCUUCUUUCCCUUCUUUGAUCUCUUUUAACUAUUUUGAUGUUGUGUUUAGUAAGCAUUAAGGCAACUCAUAGAUAUUUAGCUGGCUUAAUCUUCCCCAAUGUAGCAGCCCUUUCAGCCUUCUUGCUAUUCUUAAUUUCUUCUUGUGACACAGCUGCCUGUCAGUAUCUUUUUUAGUUAUGAGAUUUUAAAGAUGUGAUGCAUUUCUCUGAUCUAACAACAGAUCUGGUAUAGAGCUGAGCACCCUUAGUGUCUUGUCACCGAAAGCCCCUGCUGAUGUGUCCAGGGGAGAGCUGCAAGCUUUCUGAACAGGCACAUAGGUAGAUUAUCCUGCUUGAACCACUUCCUUGGCACUACUUUAUUGACCCACAAAACACUAUUAAAACAGUUAAUCUAGGAGUUCAGAAAAACAAGUACAUGGCAUUUUGCAUUUUCAAAUUUAUUUUCUAUUUCUCAUAAUGUAAAAAGACAGAAUAGCACAGAUCAAAAAUCUUUGAUGCUGUUGAGAUUUUCUAACUCUUGGUCAUGAACAUAACAGAAUAAAAUUAUGGAAGACAACAUCUUCCAUGACUUCAUCUAAGUGCUAGGAGAGAACAUUGUAGAAGGUAAUUAUAUACAUAGUCACAAGCCUAGAUGUUCACUUCAGACAAAAAAUUCUGAUCUACAGACUACAACAGCCCUUUUGUGCUAGAUGAGAUUUUGGUUGUAAUUGACUGUCUUUACCUUUGUGUUCUGUUGGAUUGGAGGAAUAUAAUUUUAAUCUGCUCUCUUUAAAUUUUCAUCAAGGAAUGUUUCAGCUACCUGCAGCCUCAUCCGAUGAUGCUUAAUGAUCUCAGCUAGCUCGAUCUUCUGUGCACCAGCAGGGACUUCCUUAAAUUGGUCAACUGUAUAGAACAUUGUUUUCAAGUUUAAUGUAGUUGGAAUUAACCUUAUAAAAUAAUGGCGUAUCUAAAAACAGAUUUUAUACAUAGCACAGACAUGUAUGUGUACAUUUAUAUGUGCAUGUGUGUGUAUACAUGUGUAUAUAUAAGUGCACACAUAUGUAUAGAAAUGCUGAUGCUACUCACCUUUUUGAAAUCUUUACAGCUAGUAUUAACAUGAAUGUGCUGUUAAAUUUGCAGUGUUAUGCAUUUUUGUUGGAGUUUACUUCUGUAAGAUAAAACCAUAAAGAUAAGCUGUGAAACUCGUGCAGCUGAUGACAUAAUUCUAGAAUCUCGUGAUGCUGAAUAUCACAUUUGUAGGAGUGUGGGAUGGAUGUUCCUCACUGAAAUAAUUAUACUGCCUAUUGCAAUAUAUGCUUCCUUGUUUUUAUGUGGGCACAGAGAUGUCCAAACUAUUAAACAUAUAUGGUACAAUGA
Long non-coding RNA from Parus major (Great Tit), 6195 nucleotides. RefSeq lists it as uncharacterized. The record is from RefSeq and is a predicted model, not a curated record. NCBI's taxonomy places the organism in Eukaryota, Metazoa, Chordata, Aves, Passeriformes, Paridae. The transcript has 5 exons.